Molecule: ribosomal RNA, 506 nt
Filed under: uncultured bacterium
Lineage: Bacteria
Description: partial 16S ribosomal RNA
Rfam family: Bacterial small subunit ribosomal RNA
Source: RNAcentral
AGUGAACGCUGGCGGUAGGCCUAACACAUGCAAGUCGAACGGCAGCACAGGAGAGCUUGCUCUCUGGGAGGCGAGUGGCGGACGGGUGAGGAAUACAUCGGAAUCUACCUUUUCGUGGGGGAUAACGUAGGGAAACUUACGCUAAUACCGCAUACGACCUUCGGGUGAAAGCAGGGGACCUUCGGGCCUUGCGCGGAUAGAUGAGCCGAUGUCGGAUUAGCUAGUUGGUGGGGUAAAGGCCCACCAAGGCGACGAUCCGUAGCUGGUCUGAGAGGAUGAUCAGCCACACUGGAACUGAGACACGGUCCAGACUCCUACGGGAGGCAGCAGUGGGGAAUAUUGGACAAUGGGCGCAAGCCUGAUCCAGCCAUACCGCGUGGGUGAAGAAGGCCUUCGGGUUGUAAAGCCCUUUUGUUGGGAAAGAAAAGCAACCAGUUAAUACCUGGUUGUUCUGACGGUACCCAAAGAAUAAGCACCGGCUAACUUCGUGCCAGCCGCCGCGGUAA